UUCUGAUAAUUUUCCUUUAAAAGUUUAUAAUUAUGGAUGAAAACGAGUGUUCUUUAUUUGUGUUUUCAUGAGAUCAAUUCCUGCUUCGUUAGCCUGCGGCCUAUCCUCUCUCUCUCACUCUCAUUUUUACUUCAUCUUGAGAUCACGCAAGUAGAAGUCUUUGCCAGUAUUUUAUCAGUGUUUUACACCGCAUUUAGCUUUCAAGGCCACAAGCUUUAUUUGAUGGGUGUUGUUUAUUUUUAGAGGAAGCCGCCAAUGUUGUGAGACAAAGAAACAAAAGGGGGUUUGAAUUGAUUAAAGGGAAGUGGGUUUUAAAGAGGAGUGAGAAAUGUCUCGUUAUGAUUGUAUGCUUUUGGAGCUUUGCUAAAGCCCCAAAUAGAGGAGGUGGCUCUUGUGGACCUGGUUUCACAAGUUGAGUUCUUACUGAUAUUAAGUAUUUUGGGAAUAUACAUUUGGGCUAUGGUAUCAAGAAAGUAGAUGGAAGAUGAUACCAGCGUCAACUAAUGCAAAUGACAAUGGUGUGACCCCUAACUUCAACAAGGAAUUCCAUUACCUCAAUAAGGAAGAGUGUGCUUCAUGGGCUUCUAGUGAAACAUAACAAUACCAAAUAUGGACUCGAAUUUAUAAGUGACUCUUCAAAAGAUGAGUUCGCUCAAUUCCCAAGAAAUGGUAUGUACGAAGAUGACGUCAAACUCACUCUUCAAAAGAUGAGCUCGCUCAAUUCCCAAGAAAUGGUAUGUACGAAGAUGACGACAAUGAUGACAACGACGAAAAAGAACCAGAUGACGAGUCUCAGGCCUAAGUCUUGAACUAGGUUCGAAUCUCGAGCUUUGCAAGCUGUACCUGCUGCUCUAAGGUUUGGGAAAGGUUUUUUAAAUAAUUCUCAAAUAUAAUCAGAAUUACUUGUAAAAUGUUUUGAUGAUGUCUUUGUUGACUGAUUACUUAGUUACAAUUUUUUUGCAGACCUACAGAAAUUUGGUUUUGGGUUCUACUCUGUUGGGAGUUUUUGUGAAUUUGUCCUAAGAUGCAUGUAUGAGAGAGAGAGAGAGAGCAAACCUUUUUUUUCCUCCCCCUUCCCCCUCUGUUUCUCUCUCUUUAUUUUGGUAAUCCACGGACGAAAUGUAGACCCUUGCAAA
Molecule: non-coding RNA, 1136 nt
Organism: Amborella trichopoda
Lineage: Eukaryota; Viridiplantae; Streptophyta; Magnoliopsida; Amborellales; Amborellaceae
Source: RefSeq, a predicted model, not a curated record